Molecule: transfer RNA, 72 nt
Organism: Camelus ferus (Wild Bactrian camel)
Lineage: Eukaryota; Metazoa; Chordata; Mammalia; Artiodactyla; Camelidae
Rfam family: tRNA
About the family: Transfer RNA (tRNA) molecules are approximately 80 nucleotides in length.
Source: Rfam
GAGGGCAUAGCUCAGUGGUAGAGUGUGUGCUUAGCAGGCAUGAGGUCCUGGGUUUAAUCCCAAGUACCUCCA